This 451-nucleotide ribosomal RNA is filed under the name uncultured bacterium. RNAcentral describes it as "bacterial SSU rRNA". It matches the Rfam family "Bacterial small subunit ribosomal RNA", at positions 354 to 796 of the family's 1533-position model. The record is from RNAcentral.
GUGAGGAAUUUUGCGCAAUGGGGGAAACCCUGACGCAGCGACGCCGCGUGGGUGAAGAAGGUUUUCGGAUCGUAAAGCCCUGUCAGGUGGGAAGAAGUGCAUGCCGGUUAAUACCCGGUGUGUUUGACGGUACCACCGAAGGAAGCACCGGCUAACUCCGUGCCAGCAGCCGCGGUAAUACGGAGGGUGCAAGCGUUGUUCGGAAUCACUGGGCGUAAAGGGCGCGUAGGCGGCUAUGCAAGUCAUAUGUGAAAGCCCACGGCUUAACCGUGGAAGUGCAUGUGAAACUGCAUGGCUUGAGUAUCGGAGGGGAAAGUGGAAUUCCCGGUGUAGAGGUGAAAUUCGUAGAGAUCGGGAGGAAUACCGGUGGCGAAGGCGACUUUCUGGACGAAUACUGACGCUGAGGCGCGAAAGCGUGGGGAGCAAACAGGAUUAGAUACCCCAGUAGUCC